Molecule: ribosomal RNA, 1724 nt
Filed under: human gut metagenome
Description: bacterial LSU rRNA
Rfam family: Bacterial large subunit ribosomal RNA
Source: RNAcentral
CUUAGAAGCAGCCACUCAUUUAAAGAGUGCGUAAUAGCUCACUAGUCGAGAGAUCCUGCGCCGAAAAUGUCCGGGGCUCAAACUUACCACCGAAGCUACGGGCUCAAGUUUACUUGAGCGGUAGAGGAGCGUCGUAAUCGGGCUGAAGUCGUACCGUAAGGAGCGGUGGACUGAUUACGAGUGAGAAUGUUGGCAUUAGUAGCGAGAUGUAAGUGAGAAUCUUACAGGCCGAAAAUCUAAGGUUUCCUGGGGAAGGCUCGUCCGCCCAGGGUUAGUCGGGACCUAAGCCGAGGCCGAAAGGCGUAGGUGAUGGACAAUUGGUUGAUAUUCCAAUACCACUAUUAUCGUUAUUAUCGAUGGUGUGACGGAGAAGGAUAGGAUGUGCUAGCGAUUGGAAAUGCUAGUCUAAGCAUUUAGGGAGUUAAAGUAGGCAAAUCCGCUUUAACAAUUCUGAGGUGUGAUGGGGAAGGUCAUUUUGACUGAAGUAUCUGAUUCCAUGCUUCCAAGAAAAGCAUCUAGAGAGAGAAGUAGUGCCCGUACCGCAAACCGACACAGGUAGAUGAGGAGAGAAUCCUAAGGCCAUCGGAAGAAUUGCAGUUAAGGAACUAGGCAAAUUGACCCCGUAAGUUCGCGAGAAGGGGUGCCUGUGAGAGCAGGCCGCAGAGAAUAGGCCCAAGCAACUGUUUAGCAAAAACACAGGUCUCUGCUAAAGCGUAAGCUGAUGUAUAGGGGCUGACGCCUGCCCGGUGCUGGAAGGUUAAGGGGAACACUUAGCGCAAGCGAAGGUGUGAACUUAAGCCCCAGUAAACGGCGGCCGUAACUAUAACGGUCCUAAGGUAGCGAAAUUCCUUGUCAGGUAAGUUCUGACCCGCACGAAUGGCGUAAUGACUUGGGCACUGUCUCAACUGCAAAUCCGGCGAAGUUGUAGUGCGAGUGAAGAUGCUCGCUACCCGCGAUUGGACGGAAAGACCCCGUAGAGCUUUACUGUAGCUUAGCAUUGAGUUUCGAUAUUGUCUGUACAGGAUAGGUGGGAGACUGAGAAGCUAGGGCGUCAGCCUUAGUGGAGUCAACCUUGGGAUACCACCCUGACAGUAUUGGGAUUCUAACCGGACGCCAUGAAUCUGGUGACGGGACAUUGUUAGGUGGGCAGUUUGACUGGGGCGGUCGCCUCCUAAAAAGUAACGGAGGCGCCCAAAGGUUCCCUCAGAACGGUCGGAAAUCGUUCGAAGAGUGCAAAGGCAGAAGGGAGCCUGACUGCGACACCCACAAGUGGAGCAGGGACGAAAGUCGGGCUUAGUGAUCCGGUGGUACCUCGUGGGAGGGCCAUCGCUCAACGGAUAAAAGCUACCUCGGGGAUAACAGGCUGAUCUCCCCCAAGAGUCCACAUCGACGGGGAGGUUUGGCACCUCGAUGUCGGCUCGUCGCAUCCUGGGGCUGUAGUAGGUCCCAAGGGUUGGGCUGUUCGCCCAUUAAAGCGGCACGCGAGCUGGGUUCAGAACGUCGUGAGACAGUUCGGUCCCUAUCCGUCGCGGGCGUAGGAAAUUUGAGAGGAGCUGUCCUUAGUACGAGAGGACCGGGAUGGACUGACCUCUGGUGCACCAGUUGUUCCGCCAGGAGCAUAGCUGGGUAGCUAAGUCGGGAAGGGAUAAACGCUGAAAGCAUCUAAGCGUGAAGCCCCCCUCAAGAUGAGAUUUCCCAUAGCAUAAGCUAGUAAGACCCCUUGA